AAAUCUGACUUGUCAUUUCUUCCAUUCCUAGAAUGUCCCAGUUAUCUUACGAAUCAUUUGGAAUCUUGAGGACAGUUCACUUCUAGAAUACCAAUUGGGGUUGUUGCCUUGUUGAUAACCUGCCAUGGAAGAAAUAAGAAAAAUAAUAAAGUGAAAUUUCUCACAAAAAUAUAAGGCUAGCUAAUCAAGAAAUGUUCUGAUGUUUGCAUUGGCGGAUGCACGAGGGGGGCUGGGGUGGCUGCAGCCCCCCUCUUGGGCUCAAAUUUUUUUAACAAAUUUUCUUUUUUUAGCAAAAGACUUCAUAUAUUUGGUAUUUUUCUAUGCUUAUUUUAUGAAUCUUUGCCUUUGAACACUUUGAAUCAAUAUUGAAUUAUCAAUCUUAGCUAUAUCUAUUAGGCCUUGUUUAGUUCCCAAAAUAUUUUGCAAAAUUUCUCAGAUUUCCCAUCACAUCCACAUGCAUGAAGCACUAAAUAUAGAUAAAAGAAAUAACUAAUUACACAGUCUACCUGUAAUUUGCGAGACGAAUCUUUUGAGCCUAGUUAGUCCAUGAUCGAACAAUAUUUGUCAAAUAUAAACGAAAAUGCUACUAUUUCUAUUUUGCAAAAAAAAAUGGAACUAAACAAAGGCCUUAGUGUAUUGGAUUGAGCGAGAAAAAAAAAUUUAGCAUGUAUUAUUUAGCCCUCCUCUUCGUCAAUUUCUGGAUCCGCCACUGGAUGUUUGUUCUGUCAUAUUUAGGUGUAGUAGUAAUGAUUUAGAAUUGGUUGUGCACAUUGGUUUCUUGUUUCUGACAUGGUUUGACCAGCUUAUUUUUGCU
RNAcentral lists this long non-coding RNA (814 nucleotides) under Sorghum bicolor (sorghum). RNAcentral's name for it is "long non-coding RNA (SBIC_LNC005848)". Lineage: Eukaryota; Viridiplantae; Streptophyta; Magnoliopsida; Poales; Poaceae. The record is from RNAcentral.